CCAGACUCCUACGGGAGGCAGCAGUGGGGAAUAUUGGGCAAUGGGCGCAAGCCUGACCCAGCAACGCCGCGUGAAGGAAGAAGGCUUUCGGGUUGUAAACUUCUUUUGACAGGGAAGAGCAGAAGACGGUACCUGUCGAAUAAGCCACGGCUAACUACGUGCCAGCAGCCGCGGUAAUACGUAGGUGGCAAGCGUUGUCCGGAUUUACUGGGUGUAAAGGGCGUGUAGCCGGGCUUACAAGUCAGAUGUGAAAUCCGGGGGCUCAACCCCCGAACUGCAUUUGAAACUGUAGGUCUUGAGUACCGGAGAGGUCAUCGGAAUUCCUUGUGUAGCGGUGAAAUGCGUAGAUAUAAGGAAGAACACCAGUGGCGAAGGCGGCCUGCUGGACGACAACUGACGGUGAGGCGCGAAAGCGUGGGGAGCAAACAGGAUUAGAUACCCCCGUAAUG
Molecule: ribosomal RNA, 449 nt
Filed under: uncultured bacterium
Lineage: Bacteria
Description: bacterial SSU rRNA
Rfam family: Bacterial small subunit ribosomal RNA
Source: RNAcentral